GGUUGGUUUGGGAGAUGUUACGUGUUUAUGGUAUAGACAGUCCGGUCGACUUCAACAUCAAAAAAGGAGGUUGGAACGAUCUUCAAGAUGAUUCACAGGAUCCGUGGAGAAAUUUCCUGCGCUCCUCCGCCGGUCGGCUCAUGUUUACGGGGUCGUGGGUGAGCUGGAGUUGUUGACUUUGGGGGGGAGGGGUGUGAUACACCUUGGACCGGUUGCUAGUAAUGGUGGGGACGAACAACACCGGUGCGGCAGCACUGGGGCGAGUCUGCAGGUGUGAAACCCCUUAUUGGCUCUGCUCCACGGAACUGUCUUAUGUCACUGAAUGCACAUCAUCAACGCUGAGGCAAUAUAGAGGUCGACGUGGCAAUGAAGAGUUGUCAGACAGUCCGACUGUGAGUACCUCAGGUAUGAUGACAUUUAAUUUCAUGAUCAAUUGGGACUUGCAUUCCUCAGUAAAAAUGUAUAUUUUGCGGGCGAACUCAUUUGAGCAUAGACACAAAGAAGCUAAUUUGGAAACGUUCUCAUCAACAUCUUAACUCGGUUAACAAAUGGACCAAAUGAAAUGACACAAAGAUGAAGUCAUAUUUCAAGUCGUCAUAUUUCAAGUAAAAGUUUCACAGGCUUUUUGGGGAUUUACAAGUUUUUCCUUUUCUACUUUUUGUUUACCUGCAAUGAUGUCAGAUGUACAGCAGAGGUCCCUAUCGAGUGACCAACACAGUAUCAAUACAGUGUCAACACACUUUGCAUCAUGUGUCAAUACACCCAAAGUGUCUUGUCGUCUGUCCAUCGCUUGUUGCUAGCCAAUCGCAAGACACAUUUAGACUAUUAACUUCACGUUCACACUUUCCUCCUCCUCUACGAACAAAAACAAAGAGUUAAUUUUAUAUUUUGUUUG
Hippocampus zosterae (dwarf seahorse) is the source of this 895-nucleotide long non-coding RNA. RefSeq lists it as uncharacterized. The record is from RefSeq and is a predicted model, not a curated record. The transcript is spliced from 3 exons. NCBI's taxonomy places the organism in Eukaryota, Metazoa, Chordata, Actinopteri, Syngnathiformes, Syngnathidae.